UUUUUUAGCAGUCUAGUUUUUUGGUUUGGUUUGGUUUUGUCGGGUUUUUUUGUUUUGUUUUUAAGAUGAGGUCUCACUAUGUUGCCCAGGCUGGCCUCGAACUCCUGGGCUCAUGUGAACCUGACGAAGGGACGGGUCAGGGUGGGUACUUGUCGCUUAACUGAAAAAUACCUGAUUAUUGUUGCUGGGGUCCUGUGGAGAGACAGUAGAAGCCACAGCCUCCUGUCUCUGGAAGUCCUAAGCCCUUCAGAGCACUUAAUGGGAGCAUUCAGCAUCCUCCAUAACCAGGAGGCCUUGGGCAGUUUAGGGCCCACUGCCAGUGCUGCUGAGUGGUGUUUGGACCUGCAGAGAACCUCCCGUAGUAGGCCGCCUCCUGCUGGGAAGACUGAGACCCCAACCUCAGUGGUGGAAAAGAGAGAAAUGAAUGAGGAAGGAAUAAGAAAAGGCUCUGCCUCUUUAAGUUCCAUGGAAGUCACUUCAGCUGGAGGGAGACAUGCUUGAACAAUGGGAAGAGGUGCAACAACUAUGGCCUCUUCAGCACCAUGUACACUUUUGUGAUCAGAAUUAAGCAUCAGAGCACAGAUCCUGAUAUUUGGAAGACAGGAUCCUUUUGGCCCCUGGCUCCCACAAGCUGUGUGCAAGCUGCUCCAGGAAUGUGCACAGCUGUUGCCACAGGGCUGGUGGUGGAGGGUGGGUAGCUGCUACUGUGCUAAAAGCUGAAAUUAAGCAAAACUAACAGUGUAUGUCCCAGCCUUCCCCUGGAAGGUCCAAGCCUUCAAUAGUCUCCAGACUCCAAAAGAGUUAAUCAGACAUGUUCUGCUAGUACAAUUCUUAUCUUUCAGGGGAGACAAAUUCCUAGGCUUCCAUGUUCCUAAGAAACCUCCCCUAAAAUUGGGUGCUUCCUACUCUGUUACCUUCCCAAGUCCUCUUCUAAUGCUUUUAUGUUUUCACAUGUAUUUCUGUGGGCUAGGGAUUUAGCUCAGUGGUGCCGCUGCCUGCCUCGAAAGCGCAAGGUCCUGAGUUCGAUCCCAGGUACCAAAAAACAAACAAAAAAAUACAUGUAUAUCUGUGAUCCAUUUUGAGUUAAUUUUUAUAUAAAAUGUGAGAUGUAUAUUCAGGUUCAUAAUUUUUUGGUUGUGGAUGUUCAAUUCCAGCACUGUUUGUUGAAGUCUUUCAUUUCAUUUCUCCAUUAAAUUUUCUUCCUGUCUAAAAUUCAAAUGACCAUACUUGCAUAGACCUCUUUAUUCUGUUCUGUUGAUCUGUGUGUCUGUCCAUCCUUUCAACAAUACCAAUACUGUAACUAUAUAGUAAAUUUUAAACUAAGUGGUAUCAUUCCUUUGAGUUUUUUCUUACUUUUUAAAAAUUAUUAUAGGUAGUCUAGUUUUUUUUGCCUUUUUAUAUAAAUUUCAAAAUCAGAUUUUCUAGUUCUACCAAAAAAAAAAAUCCUCAGCCGGGGAUUUAGCUCAGUGGUUCCGUCGCCUGCCUUGCAAGAGUAAGGCCCCAAGUUCGAUCCCCGAUACCAAAUAAAUAAAUAAAUAAAUAGAACUCCUAUAAGCUGAUCUGCUUGUGCAUUGCCAUACAAAAGUGGUCCAGGAAGAUUGGUAUGUGAUCAAAUAUUUCCAAUACAAAAAAAAAAAAUCCUCUUGGGGGCUGUGGAUAUAGCUGAGUGGUAGGGCAUGGCAUGUACAAGGCCUUGAAUUUGAUCUCCAGCACAACACAGGGAAAAAAAUCCUGCUGAGAUUUUUAUUGGAAAUGCAUUAAUUCAAUUCAGGGAAAAAUGACAUUUUUAUUACAUUGAGUCUUCUAAUCUAUGAACAUGAUAUGUCUUUAUUUAGGCCUUCUUUGAUGAUUUGGGGGAGAAUGACCCCAGGGCCUCGUGCAUUUUAAGCACAGACUCUGCAACUGAGCUAAAACCCCAGCCCCUCUUUGAUUUCUUUAGUCAGUGUUUUAUAGCUUUUAGUAUUUAGAGUUUAUAUAUAGUAUUAGGUUUAUACCUCAUAUUUCCUAUUUUUAGGAACUAUUUUUUUUAACCCAGGGCCUUUGCACUGAGUUACAUCCCUAGCCUUUAAAAAAAAUUAUUUUGAAUCAAGAUUUUGCCAAAUUAGUAAAUUGCUCAAGCUGGGCUGGAAUUUGCAGUCCUCCUGCCUCAGCCUCCGAGAAUGCUGUGAUUUCAGUCAUGUGCUACGACACCCAGCAUACUAUAAUUUUUUUUUUAAUCUUGGUUUCCAAUUGUUCAUUUUUGAGUUUAUAGAAAUACAGUUGAUUAUUGUCUUUUGUCUCCUUUGAUCUUAUAAGAGCCACUUAAGUUGUAUAAGGGCCUUUUGGUAGAUUCCUUGGGAAUUUUUUUUUUUUGGUACUGGGGAUCGAACUCGGGACCUUGCGCUUGUGAGGCAGGCGCCGGAACCACUGAGCUAAAUAUCCAGCCCUCCUUGGGAAUUUUGAUGUUGUUAUUUUUAACGUAGACAAGUAUGUUAUCUGCAAACAGAUAUAACUUAAUUUCUUUUUAACUUUAUUCAUUAUGGAUGUUGAAUAAGUAUAGUAAGUAAAUGCCCUCUCUGUUCCCAGUCCUAGGGGAAAAACAUUCUGUCUUGCACCAUUAAAUUAAAUAUGAUACAUUGCCAGUUUUUUGUAUUCAUUUAACUUUUUAACAUCUCUCUUUCAACCAGGACAUAUGCUUAAUGAAAACGGGACCACUCUGUUCCCAAUUCAACCCAUGGUGCUUGGCAUUGUGCCCAGCACAUACUAGGUCUUCAAUAAGUACUCACAGGGAAGAAAAAAAAGAUGUAAUAAUUGUUUACUCUGUUAACUUAGCCAGCUACAGCCACUGUCCUAUGUGACAGACAACAGAGGACUUGGCAGAACAUGCACAGACAUCAUGAAAAAUAAUCUUACAAUAAAUAUCCCAGCAGAUCCAGCUAGGCAUUGGCCCCAUAGAGUUGAUUAUUUUAAGCUCCAGAGCAUUUAUAGAUCAGCUUUCUAGCAAGCCUUACUAUGUCAAAGCAUUUAUCUAUGAGAAAUAGAUGACUGCAGUAAAAUAAUUAUUUUAGCUCGAGAGCAUUCCAUUCCUAAAGGGAAUUUAAACAAAAAGCUCUCCACUCUGAAAAACAGGGGCUUUCUGAGUAAAGAAUCCCACUGCUGUGAAAUCUUGGGCCCUCAGCUGGGUGGGG
This is a long non-coding RNA of Heterocephalus glaber (naked mole-rat), 3167 nucleotides long. Lineage: Eukaryota; Metazoa; Chordata; Mammalia; Rodentia; Bathyergidae. The record is from Ensembl.